RNAcentral lists this unclassified non-coding RNA (154 nucleotides) under soil metagenome. RNAcentral's name for it is "partial internal transcribed spacer 1". The record is from RNAcentral.
CCAGAAGAGACCCUAACCGGUCCUCUCAACCCUGCCAUCAUCGUACCCUUUGUGUUGUUCCCUCGGCGAGGCUUUUCAAGCCCGCCGGCGGGAAGAUCAACGAUAACUCUUUGCAAGCAAGCAUCCUGAAACCUCUGAUCGAAUACAAUUGUCA